RNAcentral lists this ribosomal RNA (758 nucleotides) under Microbacterium sp. RNAcentral's name for it is "bacterial SSU rRNA". It matches the Rfam family "Bacterial small subunit ribosomal RNA", at positions 53 to 822 of the family's 1533-position model. The record is from RNAcentral. Lineage: Bacteria; Bacillati; Actinomycetota; Actinomycetes; Micrococcales; Microbacteriaceae.
ACAUGCAAGUCGAACGGUGAACACGGAGCUUGCUCUGUGGGAUCAGUGGCGAACGGGUGAGUAACACGUGAGCAACCUGCCCCUGACUCUGGGAUAAGCGCUGGAAACGGCGUCUAAUACUGGAUACGAGUAGCGACCGCAUGGUCAGUUACUGGAAAGAAUUUUGGUUGGGGAUGGGCUCGCGGCCUAUCAGCUUGUUGGUGAGGUAAUGGCUCACCAAGGCGUCGACGGGUAGCCGGCCUGAGAGGGUGACCGGCCACACUGGGACUGAGACACGGCCCAGACUCCUACGGGAGGCAGCAGUGGGGAAUAUUGCACAAUGGGCGAAAGCCUGAUGCAGCAACGCCGCGUGAGGGAUGACGGCCUUCGGGUUGUAAACCUCUUUUAGCAGGGAAGAAGCGAAAGUGACGGUACCUGCAGAAAAAGCACCGGCUAACUACGUGCCAGCAGCCGCGGUAAUACGUAGGGUGCAAGCGUUAUCCGGAAUUAUUGGGCGUAAAGAGCUCGUAGGCGGUUUGUCGCGUCUGCUGUGAAAUCCGGAGGCUCAACCUCCGGCCUGCAGUGGGUACGGGCAGACUAGAGUGCGGUAGGGGAGAUUGGAAUUCCUGGUGUAGCGGUGGAAUGCGCAGAUAUCAGGAGGAACACCGAUGGCGAAGGCAGAUCUCUGGGCCGUUACUGACGCUGAGGAGCGAAAGGGUGGGGAGCAAACAGGCUUAGAUACCCUGGUAGUCCACCCCGUAAACGUUGGGAACUAGUUG